RNAcentral lists this long non-coding RNA (1136 nucleotides) under Rattus norvegicus (Norway rat). RNAcentral describes it as "long non-coding RNA NONRATT012673". Lineage: Eukaryota; Metazoa; Chordata; Mammalia; Rodentia; Muridae. The record is from RNAcentral.
CAGGCUAAUGGAAGUGCUAAGAAAGCUGGUGGGGAUUGUAAGCCUACCUCCCCCUCCUUACCUGCUUCUAAGAUUCCAGCCCUUUCUCCCAGCUCUGGGAAAAGCAGUUCUCUGCCCUCUGCUAGUGGUGACAGCUCUAACCUCCCCAGUGCACCUGCUACUAAAUCAUCGAUUGCUUCUACCCCUCUCAGCCCCCAAGCAGGACGGUCCGUUCACUCUGCUUCCCUCAUCCCGUCUGUCUCUAAUGGCUCCUUCAAGUUUCAGAGCCCGCCUCAUGCAGGUAAAGGCCACCACCUUUCGUUCGCACUGCAGGCUCAAAAUGGGCGAGCUGCCCCUACUUCUUCUUCCUCCUCAUCCCCUCCUUCCCCUGCCUCCCCCACCUCCCUGAAUCAAGGUGCCAGGGGCAUCCGGACCAUCCAUACUCCUAGCCUCGCCAGCUACAAAGCACAGAAUGGAGGUUCAAGCAAAGCCACCCCGUCCACAGCAAAGGAAACGUCUUAAAGUCAGAUCCUAUUAGGCACAAGGUGGAAUUACAUUCUUGUUUUUAAUUUUUAGCAGUCUGGAACAACUGUUUUCACAAGAGAAUGUACCAUAGCACUGUCUAACCCUUUUUAUGUUUUCUUAGACCUGGUAACCCACACCAUUGCAUUGCAGAUUUUAAAAUGUACACUUCUGUAUGGUUCUGUACUGAGGAACUCUUGUAAAUAUACAAAUAUGAAUAGACAUCUAAAGACUAUAUGUGACAGCACAUAGAGUAGUUUUCCCACACCAAAGUUAAUUUGUAUGCAUGCUUUAAGAAUCUAUAUUGGGAUGGGCAGAAAUGGGACUAUCCACACAUUUUUAAAAAGCAACAAGUUUGCACAGUUAGGGUGGUUUUGUAAAUAACUGUAUUUGUAUAACACAGCCAUGUAACAUACGGAACUGUAAGCAGAGACUUUGCAAAACUAAAUAAAGGGCUGCAUGCUUAUUAUUUUUUUGUACCUUAUCACUAUAAUGAAUUCCAGUCAACAGAUAUGUAACUAUUGCCACAGGGUUUCAACUUUGAGGGCAUUCUAAGUAAUGUGUAACCACAUCCACUCAUACGGUGUUGCUUCCUUGAAAGCGAAGGAUGAGUUCUAAUAAACUAAUCAACCGUG